AUUGAACGCUGGCGGCGUGCCUAACACAUGCAAGUCGAGCGGUAACAGGUGUAGCAAUACAUGCUGACGAGCGGCGGACGGGUGAGUAACGCUUGGGAAUCUGCCUGUUAGUGGGGGACAACCCGGGGAAACUCGGGCUAAUACCGCAUACGCACUACGGUGGAAAGCCGGGGACCGCAAGGCCUGGCGCUAACAGAUGAGCCCAAGUCGGAUUAGCUAGUUGGUAGGGUAACGGCCACCAAGGCGACGAUCCGUAACUGGUCUGAGAGGACGACCAGUCACACCGGAACUGAGACACGGUCCGGACUCCUACGGGAGGCAGCAGUGGGGAAUAUUGGACAAUGGGCGAAAGCCUGAUCCAGCGACGCCGCGUGGGUGAAGAAGGCCUGCGGGUUGUAAGCCCUUUCGGUGGGGAAGAAAAGCCUCGAGUUAACACCUCGGGUCUUGACGUAACCCAUUAAGAAGCACCGGCUAACUCUGUGCCAGCAGCCGCCGUAAU
Molecule: ribosomal RNA, 499 nt
Filed under: uncultured bacterium
Lineage: Bacteria
Description: bacterial SSU rRNA
Rfam family: Bacterial small subunit ribosomal RNA
Source: RNAcentral